RNAcentral lists this transfer RNA (74 nucleotides) under Octopus bimaculoides (California two-spot octopus). Its description in RNAcentral is "transfer RNA isoleucine (anticodon UAU)". It matches the Rfam family "tRNA". From Rfam's summary of the family: Transfer RNA (tRNA) molecules are approximately 80 nucleotides in length. Lineage: Eukaryota; Metazoa; Mollusca; Cephalopoda; Octopoda; Octopodidae. The record is from RNAcentral. RNAcentral also lists the same sequence under 1 other name.
GCCCCGGUGGCACAAUCGGUUAGCGCGCCGUACUUAUAAUGCGGAGGUUGUGAGUUCGAGCCUCACCCAGGGCA